This 5825-nucleotide long non-coding RNA is filed under the name Sus scrofa (pig). Its description in RNAcentral is "lncRNA (ENSSSCG00035063982.1)". The record is from RNAcentral. Lineage: Eukaryota; Metazoa; Chordata; Mammalia; Artiodactyla; Suidae.
UGCUUUGACCCAUUUGUACCUGGGGGAUGGAAUCUGGCAGACCAGCCAUGCAGGGCUUUUUGUUAAGCACACCCAAAGGAUGCACAUUUCAGACAUCUUAAUGGACCAGAUCCUCACAAAAGAAUGAAAAGCAUUUGAAAACAGGAAACACAGAAGCAUGGAAGAAUUUGGUUUAAUGAAAAUAUAGGCUUCUGGAAACUCUACUCUGCCUUUAAUUCUCAUAUUUCAAAUAUUACAAUUGAAGGCUAAAGCUCUCAUGCUAUAAAGAUUGGAGCAUGUCUUUGAUUGGAGAGUGUGUUAAGCUGCAAAGCAAGCGAAGAUUUUUGGGAAGCCUGUCUGCUGUGCAGUGAACCUAGGAUACAGUCUUAGCUGACCUACUCUUUUGUCACCUGUGGAUUUUCUUGGAAGUUUUAUAGAGGGAAACACUGGUCACAUGUUUUUAAGUAUUUUUUAAAAAUUAAGCAGGCCUUCAUAAAUGUACAUUAUGUUAUAAAGUUGUCAACCAUUCUAUGGCUUUCUGUUUUUCCUUUUCUGUUCAAGGUUGUGGAAAUUAUACAUAUUUUGUAUGUCUCCAAAUAAACCACACAUCAGAGGAAAAUAUGUCUUUGCAUGUGAACAAUUUAAAAUCCCUUAGAAAAGCUUCAUAAAUCCCGAAUUUCCAUGGAGCAUAUCACAAAAACUGCUGAUCUAGAGGAAGGAAUAUGAGAGACAUUUUAAAAAAAGAGGAGUAAUAGUUAUACAUCUGUGCCUAUAUUAUAUAGAAAACAAAGUUAUGACCCAAGAAGAUUCCUAAAGAACAGGGGGAAAUCUGGGAAAAGGGAGUGAAAGAUUGCUAGCAGAUGGGUAUCAUAGGAAAAGUGCAUAAUAAAUCAUCAUUUACUCUGUAACACAGAGUUUCUCAAAGUGUUCUGUGAGCCACUUUUAUCAGAAUCCCUUGACAUGCUUGUUAAAACGAGGUUAACUGACUCUAGCCUGGCCUAAUUAAGUUAGACUGUCUGGGAGUGGGGUCCAGGGAUGUACGUUUUGUUUUGCUUUGGUUUUUGGUUUGUUUGUUGUUUUUUGUUUCUUUGUUUUUUGUUUUUGGGUUUUUGAGGGCACACUCAUGGCAUGCAGAAGCUCCUAGGCCAGUGAUCGAACCUAGCCACAGCUGCAACCAGAGCUGCAGUGGUGACAACACUGGAUCCUUAACCACUGAACCACCAGGGAAUUCCGGGGGAUGGGUGUCUAACAAGUUCCUCAGGUGAUUCUGAUGAACACCGAGCAAAGGAAUGCCUCUGAUACUGGGGGCAUGUCUACAGACUGGUAAAUGUUACAAAGGCAGCUUGCAUAUGUCAGACCUGGUCCCUACUGUAUAACAGAUAAUGUAGGAGGAAGGUCCUGGUGGCAUAGGAGGUGAUAAUGUCAGCCAUCUAAAAGGUAGAUGCAGGAGAUGCAGGAGACCUGGCAUAUGACAAGGAGCUUUAUAUUUUUGCAGGCCAGUUAAGGUAAUUAUGCUGGAGUUUAAGAGUGACACGAUUGCAGGGUACCAAAGGCUCACUUAGGUCCCACUGAGGGUUUCCUGCACCUGGCAGGACUUUACCUUGGACAAGGAGAUUGUUAUUGCCAUCUACAGAAGUCUCCAAUUGUAAGACUCAAGAAACCGUGCUGAAAUCCUUGGCUAAGAAUCUACUAUUCAUGCUUAUUGCAGUGAACUAUAACUUCUGUAAGCUUCAUGGGCCAGACUGGGCAUUUUGUCAAGCCCAAGGACCCGGUCCUCUGUGGGAAUGUCAGCUGCAUAAACGUCUUUAGAAGAGUGAAAUGAUGAUGGUACAGAAAGCAUGCACUCUACACACACACACACACGCAUGCACACAGACAUAAAACUAAGAAAGAGACUAAUUAUUUAGAUUAUUUGGGGACCCAAGUUUUAAACAUUUGAACAUUGAGUAGUAACAGUAAUUAUCCCCAAAGUUGCUUGUUGCAUGAGUAAUGAAUUGAUAUAUUCAUUCCUUCAACAAAUAUUUACUGAACACCUAAAUACCAAGUACUCUGUUAAAAGCUGAGGAUUCAAAGAAAAUUGGACUUGAUUAAUGUCUUCAAGACUUUUAGGAAAGAGAAACAUGGAAGCAACCUAUAAAAUAUACUAAGUGAUAGAAUGCAGAUAUGGGUUAAAAGAUACAUAAGGAGUAGUGUUAAUAGUCUUAAAACAAGAUAAGAAAGUUCCCUUUUUACUACAAUUAUAGCUAUUUCUGGUGGGUAGUAAUGCUUAAUUUUCUCCUUAGCAUUUAAAAUACAUUAAAGAACAGUCUCUACCCACUUCAAACUGUUCACUGUAGAUCCUCCUGACUUCACAGAUGAACACACUAUAAUUGAUGUGACUCUGCCUUAGAGUUUCUGAUUUUUGAAUUGAGACCUGGAUGUUUUUAGUGAUUUACAAAAUCCUCAGGGAAUUCAGCAGAUUCUGUCCUGUGGUUUUAAUCCUGUGCUAUGGAAAUACUUUUUCUAACAUUGAUCAUUUACUUAAUAUAUUCCUCAUGUGUAUCCUCUCAAAAGUGUAUUUUCUUCAUUGAACUUCUGCCCUACCUUUUUAAUAGAAUAGAUGCCCGCUGGGGCUUUUUCCUCAUACAUGUAGUCCAAACAUUUUGCAAAUAAGCAAAGACAGAAGACUAGUUCAAGAAGAUAGAGUCAAAGAAGUGAAUUGUUACACAAAGCUGUGUCCAUCCCGCUGUGCUAGAGUACUCUAUAUUAUUAUCCUGAAUAUACGUCCUGUUUCUCAAAGCACCAAAAUGUAACUUCAAUUCCCUGAAACUACUGAAAACUUGGUCAAGAGUGAAGUGGGGAGACAAGUAAUACUAGCACUAUGAAGACCAGAAAAUUGACUUGAUAAUCUUGAGAUUUUACAGAGCCCAAGGACUGGAGAUUCACACAUGUUCCCGAGGGCACACAGGUUACAGAACCUGCUCAAAUCUAGUCCUUAUGACCAUGUUGAAGGAGGACCCACUGGUGACAGAAAUAAUAAUUUUUUUAAGAAUGGCCAAAGAUACAUAAUUAUUAUAUACUUUCAUGGUAAUUAAAAUUCUGUGCAGGUUCAAAUAAAGCAUUUCUGUGGACUUGCAAGCCUUGAACAAGACUAUAGUCCUGUAUCAAAAUAGGAAUUCUUCUUCUCAUAGAAGAUCUUGGGAGAGUCAUAUCCUUUCACUGAAAACAAGUCCUACAGCUCAAAGUUAAAAAUAUUUUCUGAUUGACUUUUUUUUUCUUGGUUUUCAUGGUAUAUUCCUUAAAUUCAUGUGGUAAAGCAUCUACUCAGAGGCUGGCCCUGUGUUGAAAAAACAGUAACACCCUCUCCUCCUCCUUCAUUUUAUACUGAGAGGGAAUGAAGGAUUCAUCAUUACUACAAAGUAAAGUGAAAUAAUGCUUAGAAUAUAGAAUUCCAGUAAUAAUACUCAUCACAAAGAUGGUCAUGCUGUAGGUCAAAAUGGUAUUCUUGAAAAUUACAUAUAGGGUCUGGCUUGACUCUGGUAUGACUUUAGUUACAUACAACUUUAUCUGGUUCUACAUAGAAGCCCAUUUCUUACUGUGCUCCAAGUUCCGUCUUAACAUGAGCAGAAAUCCAGGCAAUCCGAAGAUGUAUAUGGCAGCCCUAGUGAUGAAAGUGAAACUAUCCUGAAUCUAAACUAGACCUCUUCUCUUUACUUGUGUCCAGGCCACCAUAUCUGUGCACUGACACGAGAGUGUUACCUCCAGUCACACAUUCAGGACCUCAGGAUGCCCUUUGGAUGCCCGAGGGCUGGGAGAAUUUCUAAACUCUACUUCUUAUCUGCUACUCUCUAUAAUUUCAAAUCACAAGAACACUAAAUUGCUAAAUAAGAGUCAGGAAAUCUAACACAAAUCUGAUUUUUUUUUUUCCCCUCCAUGAGACUGCUUUGAAACUUUCUUGGGAAAGAGUCAAUGCUAGAUUUUUUCACAAUAAACAUUCCCAUUUAAAGAUUAACUCACAUAAACUGGCACUAUAGGAGAUACAAAGAUAAAUAACAUAUCUUCCUUCCAGAUAUUUACAGGAACUCACUAACAUUACAGGAUAUUUUCCCAUUUUUGUAAGGUUUUAAUUGUUAGAAAGUUUGCUUUAUUUCCAUAGUCAUAGCAGAGUAAAUGCCAGAUACAGAUUUAGCAAAAAUAUAUGAUAGAAAUACGUCAGGAGGUAGAGCAAAGGAGAAUACACAUGUUGCAUGGUAAGAAAUACAUGAGUAACAUUUAAAACUGAAGGGUCAAGAAAUAGCAGUGUAAGUAUGUUAUUUAGAAAUAUGGACAGAAGAAAUGUCAGAGGUGUUGAAAAUGGUUGCUUCUGGGAAAUGAAAUGCAAGGAGUGAAUUUUCCCCCUGAAUCUGCUUCUUCAAAAUGAGCACUCACCUUUUAAGUUCCUAAUUGCCCCCUAAAUCUUGGUAUUUGUGAGCAGAAGAAAAUUAUGGUAACUGGACUUAUGUGGUGAUUAUUUUGUGACAUAUAAAAAUAUUGAAUCGCUAUGUUCUACACCUGAAACAGAUUUAAUAUUAUAUGUCAAGUAUAACUUCAUAAUUUUGAAAAAAGCAUUUGAGAGCAGGCGUUCAUAAUUUUUUUCUGUAAAGAGGGAAACAGUAAAUAUUUUUAGGCUCUGCAGGCUCUACAGCCCUGUUGGCACUAUACAGCUCUGCCAUUGUAGUGGGAAAGCAGACAGACAAUCCAGAUGAGUGUGGCUGUCUUUAGCAACAUAUUAUAUACAAAACAGGCCAUAGGCUGGAUUUGGUCCAUGACCAGUUUACUGACCCUGCCUUAGAACUAGGAUCACUGUAUAAAGUUGAACAACUUGUUCACAAAAGUGAGUCACCAAGGGGCUAAGUGGGAAUUCAAAUGCAGGUACUCCCUUAGCCAUAUUCUGUGCCAAAGUGUGACACUCUCUUUGCCCACAGAUAGAUGCACUUUCCUCUAUUUGCCCAGUGGGGUGCUUUUUUUCUUAUUGUACAUUAGAUAGAUGCUUCCCGUUCAGAACAUUAGAGAACAUGAAAAUAUUAAAAUGUUUGCAAGUCAUUAGUAGCACCCUGCAUGAAACUUGUAUUCUCCAGGCAAAAUAUCCCAGUCUGUCCAUUCUUUCCAUGACCUAGUGUUGAGUCACUUUAUCUUCCCCAGUGUGCCAAUAUCCCAAAACUAUACACAGUACUCCAGGAAUGGUCUGAGGAGUCCAGAGCCAUAGUGAUUGUGAUGAAUACAGAUGUAGGAUCAUGUAAGUUCUUGGACAAAAUGUCUACCAUGGACUCAUAAUAAGCUUGCUGCCAACAGAAUGCUCUUGGUCUUUUAAACAUGUCUUGCUAUUAAGUAUAGUUCUUUUAUGUUAUACUUCUGCAGGUGAGUUGUUGGACUCCAGAUUUAGACUUUAUACUUAUUUCUAUGAAAUUACAUUUUAAAAGAAUUGGUUCAAUUGUUUUAGACAGUUUAGAAGGAGGCCUUAGCUAUUUCCUAUCACUCCAUGGAAUCUCUAGGUUUGAUAAGCCCACCACCCCUCCUCUUAUCUAAAGCACCCAUCAAAAUGUUGAAAAUGAUAAAAGGGCAUAAGAGAUUGCUGGUUCUGGAGUUCCCAUCGUGGCUCAGGAGUUAACGGAUCUGACUAGGAACCACGAGGUUGUGGGUUCUAUCCCUGGCCUUGCUCAGUGGGUUAAGGAUCCGGUGUUGCCAUGAGCUGUGGUGUAGGUUGUAGACACGGCUUGGAUGCCACAUUGUUGUGGCUCUUGUGUAGGCCGGUGGCCACAGCUCUGAUUUGACCCCUAGCCUGGGAACCUCCAUAUGCUGCGGGAGCGGCCCUAUAAAAAGGCAAAAAG